CCUACGGGCGGCAGCAGUGGGGAAUAUUGCACAAUGGGCGCAAGCCUGAUGCAGCCAUGCCGCGUGUGUGAAGAAGGCCUUCGGGUUGUAAAGCACUUUCAGCGGGGAGGAAGGCGGUGAGGUUAAUAACCUCAUCGAUUGACGUUACCCGCAGAAGAAGCACCGGCUAACUCCGUGCCAGCAGCCGCGGUAAUACGGAGGGUGCAAGCGUUAAUCGGAAUUACUGGGCGUAAAGCGCACGCAGGCGGUCUGUCAAGUCGGAUGUGAAAUCCCCGGGCUCAACCUGGGAACUGCAUUCGAAACUGGCAGGCUAGAGGCUUGUAGAGGGGGGUAGAAUUCCAGGUGUAGCGGUGAAAUGCGUAGAGAUCCGGAGGAAUACCGGUGGCGAAGGCGGCCCCCUGGACAAAGACUGACGCUCAGGUGCGAAAGCGUGGGGAGCAAACAGGAUUAGAUACCCCGGUAGUC
RNAcentral lists this ribosomal RNA (465 nucleotides) under uncultured Klebsiella sp. RNAcentral describes it as "bacterial SSU rRNA". It matches the Rfam family "Bacterial small subunit ribosomal RNA", at positions 338 to 795 of the family's 1533-position model. Lineage: Bacteria; Pseudomonadati; Pseudomonadota; Gammaproteobacteria; Enterobacterales; Enterobacteriaceae. The record is from RNAcentral.